RNAcentral lists this ribosomal RNA (499 nucleotides) under uncultured bacterium. Its description in RNAcentral is "bacterial SSU rRNA". It matches the Rfam family "Bacterial small subunit ribosomal RNA", at positions 373 to 882 of the family's 1533-position model. The record is from RNAcentral.
GCGCGAAAGCGUGACGCAGCGACGCCGCGUGGGAGAUGAAGGCCCUCGGGUCGUAAACCCCUUUCGGCAGGGACGAAGCGAAAGUGACGGUACCUGCAGAAGAAGCCCCGGCUAACUACGUGCCAGCAGCCGCGGUAACACGUAGGGGGCGAGCGUUGUCCGGAUUCAUUGGGCGUAAAGCGCGCGUAGGCGGCCCGGAAAGUCGGAUGUGAAAUCCCGGGGCUCAACCCCGGGCCUGCAUCCGAUACUUCCGGGCUCGAGGCAGGUAGGGGAGAUCGGAAUUCCUGGUGUAGCGGUGAAAUGCGCAGAUAUCAGGAGGAACACCGGUGGCGAAGGCGGAUCUCUGGGCCUUGCCUGACGCUGAGGCGCGAAAGCUAGGGGAGCGAACAGGAUUAGAUACCCUGGUAGUCCUAGCCGUAAACGUUGGGUGCUAGGUGUGGGCGGUUAUCGACUCCGUCCGUGCCGAAGCUAACGCAUUAAGCACCCCGCCUGGGGAGUA